RNAcentral lists this ribosomal RNA (253 nucleotides) under uncultured bacterium. Its description in RNAcentral is "partial 16S ribosomal RNA". It matches the Rfam family "Bacterial small subunit ribosomal RNA", at positions 524 to 776 of the family's 1533-position model. The record is from RNAcentral.
UACGAAGGGGGCUAGCGUUGCUCGGAAUCACUGGGCGUAAAGCGCACGUAGGCGGCUUGUUAAGUCAGAGGUGAAAUCCUGGAGCUCAACUCCAGAACUGCCUUUGAUACUGGCGAGCUUGAGUUCGGGAGAGGUGAGUGGAACUGCGAGUGUAGAGGUGAAAUUCGUAGAUAUUCGCAAGAACACCAGUGGCGAAGGCGGCUCACUGGCCCGAUACUGACGCUGAGGUGCGAAAGCGUGGGGAGCAAACAGG